This 99-nucleotide small RNA is filed under the name Lysinibacillus odysseyi 34hs-1 = NBRC 100172. Its description in RNAcentral is "Bacillaceae-1 RNA". It matches the Rfam family "Bacillaceae-1 RNA". The record is from Rfam by way of RNAcentral. Lineage: Bacteria; Bacillati; Bacillota; Bacilli; Caryophanales; Bacillaceae.
ACUUGCGGGGCAAACCCUAUGAGCGCCACGUCCUGCUCCUGCGAUUACUCGUCGCAAAAUGCUUUUGUGGCAGCGGGUUUGUGACCGACGUCGUGUCGA